Molecule: ribosomal RNA, 253 nt
Filed under: uncultured bacterium
Lineage: Bacteria
Description: partial 16S ribosomal RNA
Rfam family: Bacterial small subunit ribosomal RNA
Source: RNAcentral
UACAGAGGUCCCAAGCGUUGUUCGGAUUCACUGGGCGUAAAGGGUGCGUAGGUGGUCAGGUAAGUCUGAUGUGAAAGCUCUGGGCUCAACCCAGAAAUGGCAUUGGAUACUAUCUGGCUAGAGGAAUGGAGGGGGGACUGGAAUACUUGGUGUAGCAGUGAAAUGCGUAGAUAUCAAGUGGAACACCAGUGGCGAAGGCGAGUCCCUGGACAUUUCCUGACACUGAGGCACGAAAGCUAGGGGAGCAAACGGG